AUCCACCUGACGACUCCCAAAUAGAACGAAACGCGUGUUCUGGAU
RNAcentral lists this non-coding RNA (45 nucleotides) under Schistosoma margrebowiei. Lineage: Eukaryota; Metazoa; Platyhelminthes; Trematoda; Strigeidida; Schistosomatidae. The record is from RNAcentral.